This 200-nucleotide ribosomal RNA is filed under the name uncultured Psychrobacter sp. RNAcentral describes it as "partial 16S ribosomal RNA". It matches the Rfam family "Bacterial small subunit ribosomal RNA", at positions 303 to 495 of the family's 1533-position model. The record is from RNAcentral. Lineage: Bacteria; Pseudomonadati; Pseudomonadota; Gammaproteobacteria; Moraxellales; Moraxellaceae.
GUCAGCCACACCGGGACGGGGCGACGGCCCGGACUCCUACGGGAGGCAGCAGUGGGGAAUAUUGGACAAUGGGGGAAACCCUGAUCCAGCCAUGCCGCGUGUGUGAAGAAGGCCUUUUGGUUGUAAAGCACUUUAAGCAGUGAAGAAGACUCCUCGGUUAAUACCCGUGGACGAUGACAUUAGCUGCAGAAUAAGCACCG